Molecule: ribosomal RNA, 473 nt
Filed under: uncultured bacterium
Lineage: Bacteria
Description: bacterial SSU rRNA
Rfam family: Bacterial small subunit ribosomal RNA
Source: RNAcentral
ACUCCUACGGGAGGCAGCAGUGGGGAAUAUUGCACAAUGGGGGAAACCCUGAUGCAGCCAUGCCGCGUGUGUGAAGAAGGCCUUCGGUUGUAAAGCACUUCAGUAGGGAGGAAGGUAGUGUAGUUAACACCUGCACUAUUUGACGUUACCUACAGAAGAAGCACCGGCUAACUCCGUGCCAGCAGCCGCGGUAAUACGGAGGGGUGCGAGCGUUAAUCGGAAUUACUGGGCGUAAAGCGCAUGCAGGCGGCCUGUUAAGUCAGAUGUGAAAGCCCGGGGGCUUAACCUCGGAAUUGCAUUUGAAACUGGCAGGCUAGAGUCUUGUAGAGGGGGUAGGAAUUUCAGGUGUAGCGGUGAAAUGCGUAGAGAUCUGAAGGAAUACCAGUGGCGAAGGCGGCCCCCUGGACAAAGACUGACGCUCAGAUGCGAAAGCGUGGGGAGGCAAACAGGAAUUGAACACCCUGGAGCACAGA